Molecule: small nuclear RNA, 106 nt
Organism: Sarcophilus harrisii (Tasmanian devil)
Lineage: Eukaryota; Metazoa; Chordata; Mammalia; Dasyuromorphia; Dasyuridae
Source: Ensembl
GUGCUUGUUUUGGCAGCACAUAUACUAAAACUGGAAUGAUAGAGAGAAGAUUAGCAUAAUCCUACUCAAGGAUGACAUUCAAAUUUGUGAAGCAUUCCACAUUUUU